AACGAACGCUGGCGGCAUGCCUAACACAUGCAAGUCGAACGGGAUCCGAGCUUCGGUUCGGUGAGAGUGGCGGACGGGUGAGUAACGCGUGGGAACCUGCCCAGUGGUGGGGGAUAACUGCGGGAAACUGCAGCUAAUACCGCAUGAGCCCGAGAGGGGAAAGAUUUAUCGCCAUUGGAGGGCCCGCGUUCGAUUAGGUAGUUGGUGAGGUAACGGCUCACCAAGCCGACGAUCGAUAGCUGGUCUGAGAGGAUGAUCAGCCACACUGGGACUGAGAUACGGCCCAGACUCCUACGGGAGGCAGCAGUGGGGAAUAUUGGACAAUGGGGGCAACCCUGAUCCAGCAAUGCCGCGUGAGUGAUGAAGGCCUUCGGGUUGUAAAGCUCUUUGUCCAGGGACGAUGAUGACGGUACCUGGAGAAUAAGCCCCGGCGUAACUUCGUUGCCAGCAGCCGCGGUAA
RNAcentral lists this ribosomal RNA (460 nucleotides) under uncultured bacterium. RNAcentral's name for it is "bacterial SSU rRNA". It matches the Rfam family "Bacterial small subunit ribosomal RNA", at positions 29 to 523 of the family's 1533-position model. The record is from RNAcentral.